GACGAACGCUGGCGGCGUGCUUAACACAUGCAAGUCGAACGGAAAGGCCCUGCUUUUGUGGGGUGCUCGAGUGGCGAACGGGUGAGUAACACGUGAGUAACCUUCCCUUGACUUUGGGAUAACUUCAGGAAACUGGGGCUAAUACCGGAUAGGAGCUCCUGCUGCAUGGUGGGGGUUGGAAAUUUUCGGCGGUUGGGGAUGGACUCGCGGCUUAUCAGCUUGUUGGUGGGGUAGUGGCUUACCAAGGCUUUGACGGGUAGCCGGCCUGAGAGGGUGACCGGCCACAUUGGGACUGAGAUACGGCCCAGACUCCUACGGGAGGCAGCAGUGGGGAAUAUUGCACAAUGGGCGGAAGCCUGAUGCAGCAACGCCGCGUGCGGGAUGACGGCCUUCGGGUUGUAAACCGCUUUCGCCUGUGACGAAGCGUGAGUGACGGUAAUGGGUAAAGAAGCACCGGCUAACUACGUG
RNAcentral lists this ribosomal RNA (468 nucleotides) under uncultured bacterium. RNAcentral's name for it is "partial 16S ribosomal RNA". It matches the Rfam family "Bacterial small subunit ribosomal RNA", at positions 28 to 507 of the family's 1533-position model. The record is from RNAcentral.